RNAcentral lists this ribosomal RNA (253 nucleotides) under uncultured bacterium. RNAcentral describes it as "partial 16S ribosomal RNA". It matches the Rfam family "Bacterial small subunit ribosomal RNA", at positions 524 to 776 of the family's 1533-position model. The record is from RNAcentral.
UACAGAGGGUGCAAGCGUUAAUCGGAAUGACUGGGCGUAAAGGGUGCGUAGGUGGUUGCUUAAGUUAGAUGUGAAAUCCCCGGGCUUAACCUGGGAACUGCAUAUAAUACUGAGCGACUAGAGUGUGGGAGAGGUAAGUGGAAUUUCCGGUGUAGCGGUGAAAUGCGUAGAUAUCGGAAGGAACACCAGUGGCGAAGGCGGCUUACUGGCCUAACACUGACACUGAGGCACGAAAGCGUGGGGAGCAAACAGG